AUGAUCAGAGGAGCUGGGCUCCUUGCGAGCUCAACCUAUUCUCAAACUUUCAAUGGGUGAGACGUCUCGCUGGCUUCACUGCAGCGACGACUCUGAAUCCGAGUGCCCAGUGGGCCACUUUUGGUAAGCAGAACUGGCGAUGCGGGAUGAACCGCAUGUCGAGUUAAGGUGCCUAAGCGGACGCAAAUCAGAUACCAUGAAAGGUGUUGAUUGCUCACGACAGCAGGACGGUGGCCAUGGAAGUCGGCAUCCGCUAAGGAGUGUGUAACAACUCACCUGCCGAAGCAAUCAGCCCUGAAAAUGGAUGGCGCUAAAGCGUUCCACCGAUACUCGACCGUCGUCGGCAGGCGACGUGCAUGCCACGUCUCAAGCCACGACGAGUAGGGCGGCGCGGUGGUGAGCGUUGAAGGCGUAGCCGCGAGGCUAGCUGGAGCCGCCAUCGGUGCAGAUCUUGGUGGUAGUAGCAAAUACACAAGCAAGAUCCUUGUGGACCGAUGUGGAGAAGGGUUCCGCGCGAACAGUACUUGGACGUGGGUGAGUCGGCCCUAAGCCAACGGGUAAUUCCCGCAUCCCGU
This 575-nucleotide ribosomal RNA is filed under the name Tetraclita stalactifera. Its description in RNAcentral is "eukaryotic LSU rRNA". It matches the Rfam family "Eukaryotic large subunit ribosomal RNA", at positions 1017 to 1574 of the family's 3401-position model. The record is from RNAcentral. Lineage: Eukaryota; Metazoa; Arthropoda; Thecostraca; Balanomorpha; Tetraclitidae.